This 279-nucleotide signal recognition particle RNA is filed under the name Nannospalax galili (Upper Galilee mountains blind mole rat). RNAcentral describes it as "Metazoan signal recognition particle RNA (ENSNGAG00000005216.1)". It matches the Rfam family "Metazoan signal recognition particle RNA". From Rfam's summary of the family: The signal recognition particle (SRP) is a universally conserved ribonucleoprotein. The record is from RNAcentral. Lineage: Eukaryota; Metazoa; Chordata; Mammalia; Rodentia; Spalacidae.
GCCCAGGUGUAACAGCCCCAGCUUCUCAGGAGGCUAAGAAGUUCAUCAACUGGGUUCAGGAGUUCAGGGCUGUAGUGCACUACGGUAAUCUGGUGUCUGUACUAAGUUUGGCAUCAAUAUGACUUUCUGGGAGCGGGGAACCACUAGGUUGCCUAAGGAGGGAUGAACUGGUCCAGGAGGGAAACAGCAGAGCAAAACUCCCUGAUCAGUAAUGUGCUCUCACCUGUGAAUAGCCACUACACAGCAGUCUUGCCAACAUGGCCAGACACUGACUCUUGU